This 199-nucleotide long non-coding RNA is filed under the name Elaeis guineensis (African oil palm). RNAcentral's name for it is "long non-coding RNA (EGUI_LNC058004)". The record is from RNAcentral. Lineage: Eukaryota; Viridiplantae; Streptophyta; Magnoliopsida; Arecales; Arecaceae.
GUGCAUCCAUAGAUAGGUUCUUAACCAAUUGCUUCUCCAAAUAAUUUUUAGUAAUCAGAUUUUAUCCUAGAUAUCUCUUCAGCAGGCAUGUGUUGCCUCCAUUGAAAAUCUGAUUAGGUCCAACCAUUAAUAUGACUACAUCAAGUACAUCCAGCAAAUAAAUAUCUAGAUCCAAGUAUGGCUCAGCCAAUCUGAGUAU